GACGAACGCUGGCGGCGUGCCUAAUACAUGCAAGUCGAGCGAAUGACGAGAAGCUUGCUUCUCUGAUUUAGCGGCGGACGGGUGAGUAACACGUGGGCAACCUGCCCUACAGAUUGGGAUAACUCAGGGAAACCUGGACUAAUACCGGAUAAUCCUUCGAAUCACAUGUUUUGAAGUUGAAAGGCGCUUCGGCGUCACUGUAGGAUGGGCCCGCGGUGCAUUAGCUAGUUGGUGGGGUAACGGCCUACCAUGGCAACGAUGCAUAGCCGACCUGAGAGGGUGAUCGGCCACAUUGGGACAGAGAAACUGCCCAAACUCCGACGGGAGGCAGCAGUAGGGAAUCUUCCGCGAUGGACGAAAGUCUGAUGGAGCAACGCCGCGUGAGUGAUGAAGGUUUUCGGAUCGUAAAACUCUGUUGUAAGGGAAGAACAAAUGUGUAAGUAACUGUGCACAUCUUGACGGUACCUAAUCAGAAAGCCACGGCUAACUACGUGCCAGCCGCCGCCGUAA
This 510-nucleotide ribosomal RNA is filed under the name uncultured bacterium. Its description in RNAcentral is "partial 16S ribosomal RNA". It matches the Rfam family "Bacterial small subunit ribosomal RNA", at positions 28 to 523 of the family's 1533-position model. The record is from RNAcentral.